UACAGGGGGGGCAAGCGUUGUUCGGAAUUACUGGGCGUAAAGGGCUCGUAGGCGGCCGGCUAAGUCCGACGUGAAAUCCCCAGGCUUAACCUGGGAACUGCGUCGGAUACUGGCGGGCUUGAAUCCGGGAGAGGGAUGCGGAAUUCCAGGUGUAGCGGUGAAAUGCGUAGAUAUCUGGAGGAACACCAAUAGCGAAGGCAGCUCGCUGGGACGGUAUUGACGCUAAGGCGCGAAAGCGUGGGGAGCAAACAGG
Molecule: ribosomal RNA, 253 nt
Filed under: uncultured bacterium
Lineage: Bacteria
Description: partial 16S ribosomal RNA
Rfam family: Bacterial small subunit ribosomal RNA
Source: RNAcentral